Molecule: ribosomal RNA, 433 nt
Filed under: uncultured bacterium
Lineage: Bacteria
Description: partial 16S ribosomal RNA
Rfam family: Bacterial small subunit ribosomal RNA
Source: RNAcentral
AGCGAACGCUGGCGGCAGGCCUAACACAUGCAAGUCGAACGAACUCUUCGGAGUUAGUGGCGGACGGGUGAGUAACACGUGGGAACGUGCCUUUUGGUUCGGAAUAACUCAGGGAAACUUGUGCUAAUACCGAAUGUGCCCUUCGGGGGAAAGAUUUAUCGCCAUUGGAGCGGCCCGCGUCUGAUUCGCUAGUUGGUGAGGUAACGGCUCACCAAGGCGACGAUCAGUAGCUGGUCUGAGAGGAUGACCAGCCACACUGGGACUGAGACACGGCCCAGACUCCUACGGGAGGCAGGAGUGGGGAAUCUUGCGCAAGGGGCGAAAGCCUGACGCAGCCAUGCCGCGUGAAUGAUGAAGGUCUUAGGAUUGUAAAAUUCUUUCACCGGGGACGAUAAUGACGGUACCCGGAGAAGAAGCCCCGGCUAACUUCGUG